RNAcentral lists this non-coding RNA (46 nucleotides) under Trichobilharzia regenti. The record is from RNAcentral. Lineage: Eukaryota; Metazoa; Platyhelminthes; Trematoda; Strigeidida; Schistosomatidae.
GCGCUGAUGAAGAGUCCAAAACCAGGACGAAACAGCUGUCCAGUAC